RNAcentral lists this ribosomal RNA (492 nucleotides) under uncultured bacterium. RNAcentral's name for it is "partial 16S ribosomal RNA". It matches the Rfam family "Bacterial small subunit ribosomal RNA", at positions 29 to 507 of the family's 1533-position model. The record is from RNAcentral.
AGUGAACGCUGGCGGUAGGCCUAACACAUGCAAGUCGAACGGCAGCACAGUAAGAGCUUGCUCUUACGGGUGGCGAGUGGCGGACGGGUGAGGAAUACAUCGGAAUCUACUUUUUCGUGGGGGAGAACGUAGGGAAACUUACGCUAAUACCGCAUACGACCUACGGGUGACAGCAGGGGAUCUUCGGACCUUUCGCGAUUGAAUGAGCCGAUGGCGGAUUAGCUAGUUGGCGGGGUAAAGGCCCACCCAGGCGACGAUCCGUAGCUGGUCUGAGAGGAUGAUCAGCCACACUGGAACUGAGACACGGUCCAGACUCCUACGGGAGGCAGCAGUGGGGAAUAUUGGACAAUGGGCGCAAGCCUGAUCCAGCCAUACCGCGUGGGUGAAGAAGGCCUUCGGGUUGUAAAGCCCUUUUGUUGGGAAAGAAAAGCAGCAGGUUAAUACCCCGCUGUUCUGACGGUACCCAAAGAAUAAGCACCGGCUAACUUCGUG